RNAcentral lists this unclassified non-coding RNA (324 nucleotides) under fungal sp. RNAcentral's name for it is "partial internal transcribed spacer region". The stretch from base 1 to 46 matches the Rfam family "Eukaryotic small subunit ribosomal RNA", at positions 1786 to 1831 of the family's 1831-position model. The record is from RNAcentral. RNAcentral also lists the same sequence under 1 other name. Lineage: Eukaryota; Fungi.
AAGUCGUAACAAGGUUUCCGUAGGUGAACCUGCGGAAGGAUCAUUACAACGUAUCCACGUACAAACCCAAACCUGUGAACUGUUUCCCUUUGGAGCGGCAAUUGCAAACUGAAUCAGAUCCUAUUUGUGACGAAAAAAAGAGAAAUCUUUUUUUUGGAACUGAUUCGGGCUGCUCUGAAGUGGUUUUCCCGUCACAUUUUAUUAUAUAUAAACCUUUUGAACCUUUUAAACUUGAACUGAACUGAAAGCGUCCCUUUCAUUAGGGCCUUUCUUUUAUUUACGAAACGAAAAGAACAACUCUUAACAACGGAUAUCUUGGUUCUC